GUGGGCCCUCGAAAUCCGUCGGCGGGGGAUUCAGUCGAGAGGUGUGGGCUCGUGCGCCGGUCGUUUCCACGGACCCUUGAAAGGGCCGGGCCGGCGUCGCAGUCUCCACGCGACUCGACGCACUUCCUCCCGCCCCAAGGACGCCGCAGCCGGUUGGGUAGCUGCGCGAGUCGGCCAUAAGGACGGGCACCGGAAGGUGGCCAGUGGCGUUCCCUCGUGUUCGUCGCUGGUCGUUAUCCAGCCCGCCCGUGGCACGACACCCGACCGAGGUCGAUGGGUCCCGGUUAGGACCUUGCCGUCCCCUCCCCUCGUGGUCGAGCGGGCGCGCCGGCAGGCGAUUCCCCUUGCGGUCGUCCCACUCUCCGAGUGGCCGGCCCUCGGGUGGCGCCGUUGGCAUGGAUGCGUCCCGCGUGGGGAUAAUAACGAUGGCUUGCGGCGAGUAGGUCGGUCACCCACCCGACCCGUCUUGAAACACGGACCAAGGAGUCUAACAUGUGCGCGAGUCACGGGGUCUUGUUCAGGCCCAGAGGCGCAAUGAAAGUGAAGGCCGGCCUCGACGCCGGCCGUGUUGGGACUCUCCGCCGUUCUCGAGCGGGGAAGCACCAACGACCCGCCCUAUCCGAUUCAUCGGUUGGGCGGAGUGUGAGCGUACACGUUGGGACCCGAAAGAUGGUGAACUAUGCCUGGGCAGGACGAAGCCAGAGGAAACUCUGGUGGAGGUCCGUAGCGGUUCUGACGUGCAAAUCGAUCGUCAGACCUGGGUAUAGGGGCGAAAGACUAAUCGAACCAUCUA
Molecule: ribosomal RNA, 793 nt
Filed under: Nemesia seldeni
Lineage: Eukaryota; Metazoa; Arthropoda; Arachnida; Araneae; Nemesiidae
Description: eukaryotic LSU rRNA
Rfam family: Eukaryotic large subunit ribosomal RNA (bases 478-793)
Source: RNAcentral